UUUUUCCGUAGGUGAACCUGCGGAAGGAUCAUUACUGAUUUGCUUAAUUGCACCACAUGUGUUUUUUACUGGACAGCUGCUUUGGCGGUGGGGACUCGUUUCCGCCGCCAGAGGUCACAACUAAACCAAACUUUUUAUUACCAGUCAACCAUACGUUUUAAUAGUCAAAACUUUCAACAACGGAUCUCUUGGUUCUCGCAUCGAUGAAGAACGCAGCGAAAUGCGAUACGUAGUAUGAAUUGCAGAUAUUCGUGAAUCAUCGAAUCUUUGAACGCACAUUGCGCCCUUUGGUAUUCCAAAGGGCAUGCCUGUUUGAGCGUCAUUUCUCCCUCAAGCCCGCGGGUUUGGUGUUGAGCAAUACGCCAGGUUUGUUUGAAAGACGUACGUGGAGACUAUAUUAGCGACUUAGGUUCUACCAAAACGCUUGUGCAGUCGGCCCACCACAGCUUUUCUAACUUUUGACCUCAAAUCAGGUAGGACUACCCGCUGAACUUAAGCAUAUCAAUAAGCGGAGGAAAAA
Molecule: ribosomal RNA, 520 nt
Filed under: Candida viswanathii
Lineage: Eukaryota; Fungi; Ascomycota; Pichiomycetes; Serinales; Debaryomycetaceae
Description: eukaryotic LSU rRNA
Rfam family: 5.8S ribosomal RNA (bases 169-322)
Source: RNAcentral